UCCACAGAGUGAAUAUCUCCGGCAUUUCUUCUCUAGGGAUGCCAACAGGACUACUAUGAGUUGCUGAUAAUCUCUUGGGAGUAGAAACCAGCACGAUUCCACUGCACUGGGAA
Molecule: long non-coding RNA, 113 nt
Filed under: Chrysemys picta bellii (western painted turtle)
Lineage: Eukaryota; Metazoa; Chordata; Testudines; Emydidae
Description: lncRNA (ENSCPBG00000007071.1)
Source: RNAcentral